GCCGAAGUGGUGGAAUUUGGUAGACACGCCAUCUUGAGGGGGUGGUGGGAGCAAUCCCGUGCGGGUUCGAAUCCCGCCUUCGGCACCA
Molecule: transfer RNA, 88 nt
Filed under: Deltaproteobacteria bacterium
Lineage: Bacteria; Pseudomonadati; Myxococcota; Myxococcia
Description: tRNA-Leu
Rfam family: tRNA
About the family: Transfer RNA (tRNA) molecules are approximately 80 nucleotides in length. Their secondary structure includes four short double-helical elements and three loops (D, anti-codon, and T loops).
Source: RNAcentral